Molecule: ribosomal RNA, 231 nt
Filed under: uncultured bacterium
Lineage: Bacteria
Description: partial 16S ribosomal RNA
Rfam family: Bacterial small subunit ribosomal RNA
Source: RNAcentral
GGAUCUCGAAAGCCUGUCCCAGUUCGGACUGGAGUCUGCAACCCGACUCCACGAAGUUGGAUUCGCUAGUAAUCGCGAAUCAGAAUGUCGCGGUGAAUACGUUCCCGGGUCUUGUACACACCGCCCGUCACACCAUGGGAGUCGGAAAUGCCCGAAGUCAGUGACCCAACCGUAAGGAGGGAGCUGUCGAAGGUGGAGCCGAUGACUGGGGUGAAGUCGUAACAAGGUACC